GCGCGACUAAGAACAACUUUAACAGAACAUACCUGAUCAAAUAGACUGCAACAACGACACCAAUAAAGCCUGACAGAGAAAAGUGCCAAUUAAUCAAAAACAUUACUUUCAAAGACUUAAUACUGUGAUCCUAGCAUUUGAGAGGAGUAAUGCAAGCUCUAAUGGUGCUAAACUGCACCUGGAACUAUAGAUGAAGCAAUAAUUUCAACAUGGAACUGAUUAAGUAUCAGGUGAAUAUAAUGUGGAAGAUAUUCUAAAGAAACUAAUAUCUCACCUCGUAACAGGAUAAUCCCUGCAGUGUCAGGCAAUCAAGCCCAGGAAAUAAACAGAAGAAGAAUACAGGAGACCAUGGCAAGAGCAGCAGCAGAUACAGCAGCAUCAAAGCUUAGCCCUCAAGCAAUCAUUGAUAUUAGUUAUGCCUGCAAGACCCGCUUCACAAAAUAUACAAAUUCAUGUUUAUAAGACAUAUUCUGUAGAAGUACUUUAGCAAUACAAGUAAAGGAUUAACUACAGCCAUGCCAGCGGCGACAGGAAAAGCAGUAGCAGAGCCAUCUAAUAUUAAUAAUAAUGCAUUUAAUGUGCAUAGUGCUUUUCCUUAGAGUCCUUCUCAAGGCUCUACUUAAGCAAAGAAAAAUGCAAAUGGGCUAGAUGCACAAAAAAAAAAACAGUUUUCAGAUUGGGAUUAGACCUAUGAGAAAAAGUCUGUAGAAGUGGGUUUUAAAGGCCCAUUUUAAAAGCUUGGAUUGGUGGAGCAGCACUCAGAGGGUAAGGGAGAGCAUUCCAUUGGCAAGAAACAAGGGAGCAAAAGGCUUGUCCCCCCCCCCCCACUUUUCAAUGAAAUGUACCAAUAACUAAAAUGACAAUGACUCCGACGAACAAUGAACCUAUGGGAACAGAAAAUCACAAACUGUUUAAUUGCACAAACAUGGCAGUUUGACCUUUGUAAUUCUGUCUAUUGGAUCUUACCAUUUUCAGGUGGUGGUGAGGUAGUCAUAUCAGCUGUUGAAUCAAAUCAACCUUUGUCACAUGCACCGAAUACAACAAGUGUAGACCUUACCAUGAAAUGUUUACUUACAAGUCCUUAAACAGUGCAGUUCAAGAAGAGUUAAGAAAAUAUUUACCAAAUAAACUAAAGUAAAAAAUAAUAAUAACAUAACAAUAAAUAGGCUAUAUACAGGGGGUACCGGUACCGAGUCAGUGUGCGUGGGUACAGGUAAUUUGUACAUGUAGGUAGGGGUGAAGUGACUAUGCAUAGGUAAUAAACAGUUAGCAGCAGUAUACAAAACAAAGGGGGGAUUGUAAAUGUAAUAGUCUGAUGGCCAUUUGAUUAAUUGUUCAGCAGUCGUAUGGCUAUUAUAUAGGUCCUGGAUUGCGGGAAGCUUGGCUCCAGUGAUGUACUGGGCCAUACGCACCACCCUCAGUAGCGCCUUAUGGUCAGAUGCUGAGCAGUUGCCAUACCAGGUGGUGAUGCAACCAGAGCUCUCGAUGAUGCAGCUGUUGAACUUUGAGGAUCUGGGGACCCAUGCCAAAUCUUUUCAGUCUCCUGAGGGGGAAAAAGGUUUUGUCGUGCCCUCUUCAUGACUGUCUUGGUGUGUUUGGACCAUGAUAGAUCAUUGGUGAUGUGGACACCAAGGAACUUGAAACUAUCGACCCGCUCCACUACAGCCCAGUUAAUGUUAAAGGGGACUUGUUCGGCCACCUUUUCCUGUAGUCCACGAUCAGCGCCUUUGUCUUGCUCACGUUGAGGGAGAGGUUCUUGUCCUGGCACUACACUGCCAGUUCUCUGACCUCCUCCCUAUAGGCCGUCUCAUCGUUGUCAGUGAUCACUGUUGUGUAGUCAGCAAACUUAAUGAUGGUGUUGCAGUCGUGUUUGGCCACGCAGUCGUGGGUGGACAGGAAGUACAGGAGGGGACUAAGUACACACCCCUGAAGGGCCCCAGUGUUGAGGAUCAGCGUGGCAGACGUGUGGUUGCCUAUCCUUACCACCUGGGGACAGACAGUCAGCAAGUCGAGGAUCCAGUUGCAGAGGGAGGUAUUUAGUCCCAGGGUUCUUAGCUUAGUGAUGAGCUUCGUGGGGACUAUGGUGUUGAAUGCUGAGCUGUAGUCAAUGAACAGCAUUCUCACAUACAAUACCGUUCAAAAGUUUGGGGUCAUUUAUAAAAUGUCCUUGUUUUUGAAAGAAACACAUUUUUGGUCAAUUAAAAUAACAUCAAAUUGAUCAGAAAUACAGUGUAGACAUUGUUAAUGUAGUAAAUGACUAUUAUAGCUGGAAACAGCUGAUUUUUAAUGGAAUAUCUACAUAGGUGUACAGAGGCCCAUUAUCAGCAACCAUCACUCCUGUGUUCCAAAGGCACGUUGUGUUAGCUAAUCCAAGUUUAUCAUUUUAAAAAGGCUAACUGAUUCUUAGAAAUUCCUUCUGCAAUUAUGUUGGCACAGCUGUAAACUGUUGUUCUGUUUAAAGAAGCAAUAAAACUGUCCUUUAGAUUAGUUGAGUAUCUUGAGCAUCAGCAUUUAUGGGUUCGAUUACAGGCACAAAAUGGCCAGAAACAAAUAACUUUCUUCUGAAACUCAUCAGUCUAUUCUUGUUCUGAGAAAUGAAGGCUAUUCCAUGUGAGAAAUUGCCAAGAAACUGAAGGUCUGGUACAAGUACAUGUCCUGGUAAUCCAUCUGGCUCCGCAGCUUUGUGAAUGUUGACCUGUUUAAAGGUCUUUCUCACAUUGGCUACCGAGAGCAUUAUCACACAGUCAUCCAAACAGCUAGUGCUCUCGUGCAUGCUUCAGUGUUGCUUGCCUUGAAACGAGCAUAAAAAGGCAUUUAGCUCCUCCGGUAGGCCCGCGUCACUGGGCAGCUCGUGUCUGGGUUUCCCUUUGUAGUCCGUAAUAGUUUAAGCCCUGCCUCUAGCUCGAUGCAGAUGUUGCCUGUAAUCCAUGGCUUCUGGUUUGGAUAUGUACGUACGGUCACCGUGGAGACGACGUCGUUGUUGAUGCACUUAUUGAUGAAGCCGAUGACUGAGGUGAUAUACUCCUCAAUGCCAUUGGAUGAAUCCCAGAACAUAUUCCAGUCUGUGCUAGCAAAACAGUCCUUUAGCGUAGCAUCCGCAUCAUCUGACCACUUCUGUAUUGAGCGAGUCACUGGUACUUCCUGAUUUCAUUUUUUCUUGUAAGCAGGAAUCAGGAGGAUAGAACUAUGGUCAGAUUUGCCAAAUGGAGGGCGGGGGAGAGCUUUGUAUGCGUUUCUAUGUGUGGAGUAAAGGUGGUCUAGAGUUUUUUUCCCCCCUCUGGUUGCACAUGUGACAUGCUCGUAAAAAUUUGGUAAAACAGAUUUAAGUUUGCCUGCAUUAAAGUCCCAGGCCACUAGGAGUGCCACUUCUAGGUGAGCAUUUUCUUUGUUGCUUAUGGCCUUAUAGAGUUGGUUGAGUGAGCUCUUAGUGCCAGCAUCGGUCUGUGGUGGUAUGUAGACGGCUACGAAUAAUAUAGAUGAGAACUCUUGGUAGAUAGUGUGGUCUACAGCUUAUGAUAAGGUACUCUACCUCAGGCGAGCAAUCCCUUGUUUUAUAUUAGACAUCGUGCACCAGCUGUUAUUGAUAAAAAGACACAACCCCACCCCUUGUCUUACCAGACAUAGCUUCUCGGUUCUGCCGGUGCAUUGAAAAUCCCUCCAGCUCUAUAUUGUCCGCGUAGUCGUUCAGCCACGACUCGAUAUGGUAUAUGGCCAAUAUACCCCGCCUAAGGCCUGUUCUUAUGCACAAUGCAACAUGGAGUGCCUGGAUACAGACCUUAGCCGUGACAUAUUGGCCAUAUACCACAAACCCCUGAGGUGCCUUAUGGCUACUAUAAACUGGUUACCAAUGUAAUUAGAUCAGUAAAAAUACAUGUUCUGUCAUAUCCGUGGAAUACGGUCUGAUAUACCACAGCUGUCAGCCAAUCGGCAUUCAGGGCUCGAACUACCUAGUUAAUAAUUCAGAAUAAUACACAGUUAAAACCUAACCCUUCUGUUAUAGCUCACCAUUGAGAGUUGGUGCUGACAAAGUGGUCUUGCCUCGAACAGUGUCCAACCUUGAGUCUUGAGCAGCCUCCAACAAUGAUGGACACUCUGAAACAUAAUUCCAGAAAUGUUAAACUUUUUUUUUUUUUAAACAAGGCUCACCAUAGACAUAGUAGAAUGUGUCUUCAGUUGAAGUCAAUACCUGUCUUUUCAGAGGGCACAUGGUCAUGAUAUUGUUCCAUAUCACACUUCUUGCCCUCUUCAAUCAUAAGCACAAAUGUCCGACCAGCAUGCUGGCAAACAGUCUUGGACUUUUGGGAAAUGCUUGUGCAGAGUGGGAUCAGUAAACCCCUUCAACAGUUCAUCCUCUCCACACCAUAUCUUAGUCACAUCAGCAGCACAUCCAGGACUCUUGCAGGCGAUGCAUGACAAACUCUGGUGAUCUACAAUGGCACACAGAAAGACAAUGCACUUGGCAUAAGAAAUACCUGUUCUGUUAAAUGUACAGAAAAAAAAUAAUGUUUGAUCCAUCCUCACCGGUGCUUGUAAAGACACCCCCAGUGCCAGAUGCCACCCCGAGCAUGACUAUACAAAAUAAACUAUCUACAGAGAAACAAAAUAUUAGAGGCAUAUCUAUAGCAUAUGGAUCACAUCAGGGUUGGAGUCAAUUCCAUUUCAAUUCAGAAUGUAAACUGAAAUUCCAAUUUUCCUUAAUGCUUCUCCAAGAGAAAAUGUGGAAUCGGAAUUUCAGUGUACUACCGGAAUUCAAAUGGACUUGACCCUGAAAAUGGAUCCCAUGUACAUAUCUUACAACUUACUUGGGGACCAGCAUAACAUUGUUGGUGAGAAUGCCUGCAGCCAUAGGAAGACUGACAGUAGCCAUGAGAGAACAGUCUCUACAAAGGAAGCACUGGAAUUUGCCUCUUUGUCACAUUGAGGUUUGGCUGAUCGUCUGCGUUUCCUUAUAUUCUUCCUCUUGGGAGCCACCUUGUGUUCUUUCUCUAGGACUAGUUUUCCCUCUGUAUCUUUCUCUUCACAGCCCUCUCAGCAACCAACUCCUCCCCUGACUCAUAACUGUUUGUCCCCUUUCCCUCUUUCAUUUCAGCUCUCAUCCCAUCUUCAAACUCCCCCUCAGCAGCCAUCUCAGUCACCUCUACUCCAACUGGGACAAAGCAGUCUCCCUCUCUCCACUCUGCACUGACUGUGUCACUCACACCCUCUGAGAAAGCAUCUCUCCUUUCCUCCUUAUCACGGUAACCGGAGUUCCAACUCAGCUCUUUAACAAUCCCACUUGUAUCCUCAUCACCAGUGAAUACCCUCUCUACACUCUUCCCCCACCCUUGCCUCCCUCAGCCAAGUUCAGGUUUAGCUCUCCAGAUUCAUUCAUAUUCUCCAGGAUAGCUGUUGGUGGAGCUGGCAACACCUCUCUACUGCUAGAGAUGGAGGUACCAGAUUCCAGUGCUGAGCUUGUUUCUGGUGGAAGAUUUGUGUCCUGUGCAGGGCUUGAAAGACACAGUAAAGAAACCAUUAUAAUUCAUAUAUAUUUGAAUCCUAAUUUGGUUUGAGACAUGCAGCGAGUAAAUGCAUGCACUCAGAAUGUAGAUAUAAUGGAGCAAGUAAAAUAGCCUAUAUCAGAUUUGUGAACACUAUACUGUACUGUUUUGCAGUAUCAGGACAUUAUCAUCUCAGCACGACAACACAUUCUUCAAAAUAUAGUAAAGACAAGCAAAAAUUACUGUACAAAAUAAUUCAAAUACUGAGCUAUAUUGUGUGCAAAAAUACAAAAUAUUAUUUUAUACUAAUACAAUUUCUCAGAGAACAAGAUUUAUUUUAACAAGUAUACAUUCUCAAAACUUUGAUCAAUAACAAAACAUCAAAGAUCCACCCAGCAGUGGUGGGUUUGGCAUUGAAAUAAGAAUCCAUGAGCAGAAAAUAACCCCCAUACCUGCUGUAAAAUAAGGUGGAUCUUUGAUGUUAUGGAGCUAUUUUACUUCCAUUGGUCCUGGGGCCCUUAUUAAGGUCAACGGCAUCAUGAACUUUACCCAGUACAAAGACACUUUUGCCAAAAACUUGGUUGCCUCUGCUAAGAGGCUGAAACUUGGCCACCAUUGAGUCUUCCAGCAAGACAAUAACCCCAAGCCCACAUCAAUAUCCACAAAAGCAACACUUUUCAAUGGCCAUCUCAGUCUGCCGACUUGAAAACCCGUGGUUUGAAUUGAAGAGGGCAGUUCAUAAGCGCUGACGAUUGAUAUCAAGGAUCUGAAAGAAUUCUGUACUAGAGGAAUGGUCUGAGAUCCCUCCAAAAGUCUUUAAUGGAUAAAACACUUUAGAAAAAGGUUCAGUGAGGUAUUGAAAACAGUGGUGUCAAUCAUUUUGGCCCCUACCUUUGAGAAAAAAAAUAUUUACUUAAUAUAUAUUUUUUUAAAUUGCUUUCUCUGAGCAAAUUGUAUUAAUAUAAAAUACAAUUAUUUUAAAAAUGUAGCAUACAAUAUAGCUCAGUAUUUGAAUGAUUUUACAGUAAUUUUUGCUCAUCUUUAGCGAGUGUCACUGUAUAUGAAGGCUUACCAGUUUUCUGCAUUCAGUUUCUUCAUAGACCGCCACCGCCAUAGCUGACCCACCUACUUGAGAAUACAAAUCGACCUCAAAUUCCAUUCAUGAUCCUUCUCUCCAGCCAUUAGCAAAAACAUAAAAUGUACAUUUGUCAAAUAUUCAACUUUUUUAAAUAGAAAAAGACCCUACAUUUACAACAGCUUUCAUUAACAAGUCAUACUAUUUAGACUAUAAAUGUCCAUUGGAAUGUGACUUGAAAAAUAGUGUUAGGAUACUCAGAAAAUAAUAUCAAAGUUUGGUGUUUCAAAUAUUUUGAUGCCAUAACUUCCCUCAGUGAAUCGCUGGCAUUGCAGUGCAAUCUGCUGAGAGCUGAGAUCCUGCAAUUAUACUACUUCUGGUUACAUCUAGGCCUGGGGAGAAUCUCAAUUGGAUUACCUCGAUUCCUCGCCUCUUUUUGAAAAAUGUCAAAAGUACUCAAGGAGAGGAGGCGAGGAGAUGAAACGUGGAAACAAAUGCACUUGAAAUAAAUGAGAUGGGUGGAAUCCCAAAACACAUAUGUAAAGUGGUAAAAAAAAUCUAUUUAACUAGUUGUGCAAGACAUUUUAUAGAUAAAAGGACAAGUAGCGGUAUCAUUUUUAAAUGUGUGCAUGUUUUCUAUGCUGAGAAAACAGCUGAUUCAAAGGUGGUGUGGCAGAUUUCAAAACUCUUCAGCAGUAGGGUCGGCCUACACCCGAGUAUCCUCCACCAGAGGAGGCAAUCAAAUAGUAGAGAAAACUCCCCUGUUCACCUAUUGGGCCGUCAAAGUUUUCACCAUGCAAAGCCCUAGUUAUUUUUUUGCUUUGACUAAGUCAUUUCUGAAGAUGAUUUACUUCAUGGUGAUCAGCGAUUCAUUUAUGCAGGUCCCUCAUUUUAAGGUCAACCCUGUUAUGUGAACUGAACAAUUGAUUUAAUAUGGUGAAACUUUUCCCAUUUAUAUUUUUUAAGAAUCAUUGAACAUCUAAUUAGAGGUCAACUGAUUAUGAUUUUUCAACACCGAUACCGAUUAUUGGAGGACCAAAAAAAGGCGAUACAGAUUAAAAAUCGGCCGAUUCUUAUUUAUAAUAAUGACAAUAACAAUACUGAAUGAACACUUAUUUUAACAUAAUACAUAAAAAUCCAUUUAGCCUCAAAUAAAUAAUGAAACAUGUUCAAUUUGGUUUAAAUAAAUGCAAAAACAAGUGUUGGAGAAGAAAGUAAAAGUGCAAUAUGUGCCAUGUAAGAAAGCUAACGUUUAAGUUCCUUGCUCAGAACAUGAGAACAUAUGAAAGCUGGUGGUUCCUUUUAACAUGAGUCUUCAAUAUUCCCAGGUAAGAAGUUUUAGGUUGUAGUUAUUAUAGGACUCUCUCUCUAUACCAUUUGUAUUUCAUAUACCUUUGACUAUUGGAUGUUUAUAUGGAUGUUGGAUGAUAUUGGAUGGUUAUAGGCACUUUAGUAUUGUAACGGUAUAGCUUCCGUCCCCCUCCGAUUAAUCGGUUGACCUCGAUUUCAAGUUUCAUAAUCGGAAAUCGGUAUUUUUGGGCGCCGAUUUUUUUGACAUACCUUUAUUUAACUAUGCAAGUCAGUUAAGAACACAUUCUUAUUUUCAAUGACGGCCUAGGAACGGUGGGUUAACUGCCUCGUUCAGGGGCAGAACGACAUUUUCACCUUGUCAGCUCGGGGGAUUCAAUCUUGCAACCUUACAGUUAACUAGUCCAACGCAAUAACGACCUGCCGCUCUCUCGUUGCACUCCACAAGGAGACUGCAUGUUACGCGAAUGCAGUAAGCCAAGGUAAGUUGCUAGCUAGCAUUAAAC
Molecule: long non-coding RNA, 8366 nt
Organism: Oncorhynchus tshawytscha (Chinook salmon)
Lineage: Eukaryota; Metazoa; Chordata; Actinopteri; Salmoniformes; Salmonidae
Source: Ensembl